Molecule: long non-coding RNA, 4049 nt
Filed under: Homo sapiens (human)
Lineage: Eukaryota; Metazoa; Chordata; Mammalia; Primates; Hominidae
Description: non-protein coding lnc-SLC16A3-10:2
Source: RNAcentral
GCGCUCCAGGCCUCCUCCCGACCCUGCGCCGUGCCCAGCCCCUCUGCCCUCCUGUUACCCCGGGACCUCGGGCCGCCAGCCCCUUCCACGUGCAGGCUCCUGCUGCUCUCGCGGGGGCUUUUCGUGUGUCCCCCGAGAUGUCGAGGAAGCCAGGUGAGUUCCUCGCGACAGGCGGUGCCCUUUGCAGGAGGGGACAGGUAGCUGAGGCGUGGACAGAGUGACAGGCCAGGCUCAGGGGACACAGGUGAGACCCCCUCACUGGGCUGCCAGUUCCCGGGCUUGGGGCAUCCCAGUACGUCAGCGUCUGCGGCCUUACCUCCUGACACCUAAGGCCAGAGACAGAGCAGGCCCGCGCCCUGGGAGGUCCUGAUGUCCAGCCUGAAGAUUGAGGACAAAGCCACCACCUUUCACAAAAUGAGGCCAGACCACCUGCCUCCCUCCAGUCCCUGCGGCCUGGAGACGGAGUCAACAUUCUUAUCUGUGUUGGAUCUGAAUGUUCCUCCUUGCAAAGGAAACAAGGAGUGGACGUUCAGGCUGAUGGCCAGCUUCAAAGAUCGGGGCCUUUGAUUCCCAUCACUGGGAAGAAAGCCCUUCAGACAAGCCCCCCCAGGCUGCAGGUGCAUGGGGACCUUGAAGAACCCGUCCCCAUGGUCCCACGUCCAUGUGUCUCGAGACCUGUCGCAUCCUCGCUGAAACUCAAGAAUGUGAAACAGGUGAAGGUGUGUUUUGACGCAUUAGCAUACCAGGGCUGUGGUGUGGGCACCGCCGUGUGAGUGAGACAGCAGCCUCAGCCCGUCCAGGUCACUGCAGAAGAGGAAAGCAGCCCCCACAGGCCCCACAGUGGUGCUCGCCUUUCUCCACCCCCCAGUCUUUCCUCUCCACCCCUCAGCUCCAAACAGCUGGAGGUCAGGUCGGGGAGACGGGCGUCCAUUCCCGAAAUUACAUAGCAGGGCCUGGAGACAGGAGAUGCCGCCGGCCAGACCACCAUCAGUCACUAAUGAGGGAUGGGCAGUCGGAACUGCCCAGUUUCUGAGUUACAGAAGCCGGGGGUGGGGGGCUGCCAGACUAGUAAAACUGACCUUGUUGGCGGAAUCGCUCACGGCUUUUCUGUUGAUGAACAGAGUCCAGCUCUCCCACGGGUGGCUGUGAUCCUUCUUCCUGGGGAGUCCUGCUGUCCCUGACUAGGGGCACCUGCCCACCUGUCAGCUGCUCCUCCCUCGGCUGGUCCUCCUGGGCUCUGAUGGCCCCAACAUUUCUAGCUCUUCUCACCCAUAGUGCCCCAAGCUUCAUGCAGCUGCGGCAGGUACUGUGCCCGUCUGCCUGGCUUUUGUGUGUUUGUGUCUUGACUCUAUAACCCGUGCACACGGACUGGGCUGUGGUGUAGUGGGGAUGGCAGGAGCCCUGGGAACAUGCGGGCUGGGCAAGGUGAGGCAGGCUGAUUGCUGUGGCUCCCCCACCACCAGCCCCAGCCACAACAAACUGACAAAGGAAGAGGACAGUGGUACCCUGGAGCCCUGGGGUCAGAGAGAGGAGGACAAAGCAGGUGUGUAGCCCAGGGAAUGACAGCACCCCUUCCGAGAAGACAGGGAGGGUGCAGACAUGGCCAGGUUCUGAGCUAGAAAACUGUCAGCAGGGGGCUGAAGCUGAGGAUAGUCAUUGCCAAGGAACAGCCUCCGUCACAGAGGAGACGCACAGAUGCGGUGACGAGGGAGGGAUGCGGGGCUGGUGACCGCUGGGAACGGAUGUGUGAGGCAGAGUCUCCAGGCAUGGUCUGUGGGGCGGUUUGAUGAUACUAGAACAUCUCAGAGUAGAAGGACGUCCCGACCUGCAGACUGGAAAGCCCCCAGAGCUCCCGGCAGGACGUAUGAGGGCCAGCCCACACCCAGGUCUGUCCUGAUACAACUGAACGCCACAGUGUCUUAGCUCCUUUACUGUUGCUAUCAAGAAACACCUGAGGCUGGGAAAUUUAUGAAGAAUCAUGAGGUAAUUUGUAUAUUUGUCCACACUAAACCUCAUGUUGAAUUGUAAACCCCAAGGCUGGAGGUGGCUGGGUCAUGGGGGUGGAUUUCUCAGGAAUGUUUAGUACCAUCCCCUUGGUGCUGUCCUUGAGAUAGUGAGUUCUCCUGAGAUCUGGUUAUUUAAAAAGUGUGGGGCACCUCUCUCUCUCGCUCACUCGCUCGCUCGCUCCUGCUCUGGCCAUGUGACGUGCCCGCUCCCCCAUUGCCUUUCACCAUGAUUGGAAGCUUCCGGAGGCCUCCCCAGAAGCUGAGCAGAGGCCAGCACCAUGCCUCCUGUAAAGCCUGCAGAACCAGGAGCCAAGUAAACCUCUUUUCAUUAUUUAUUUAUUUAUUUAUUUAUUUAUUUUGACACAGGGUCUCGCUCUGUUGCCCAGGCUGGAGUGCAGUGGCGUGAUCUCGGCUCACUGCAACCUCUGCCUCCUGGGCUCAGGUGAUCCUCCCACCUCACCCUCCUGAGUAGCUGGGACUACAGGCACACGCCACCAUACCUGGCUAAUUUUUCAUAUUUUUUGUAGACAUGGGGUCUUACUGGCCCAGACUGGUCUCAAACUUCUGAGCUCAAGUGAUCCAUCCACCUUGGCCUUCCAGAGUGCUGGGAUCACACGCAUGAGCUACCAUGCCGGCCCUCUUUUCUUUUAAAAUUGCCCAGUCCUAAGUAUUUCUUUAUAGCAAGGCAACCACAGCCUAACACAGCUCACGAUGCUGAGGUCUCAAAAGUUCAAGAUCGGGCGUCUGCCUCUAGUGAGGGCCUUGCUGCCGCUGCCUCCACUCAUGGCAGAAGGUGAAGGGCAGCUGGAGUGUGUGCAGACCGUGUGCGAGAGGGAGCUGGAGGAGUAGGGAAGUACAGGCCUUUUUUUUUUUUUUUAAGAUGGAGUCUCGCUCUGUUGCCCAGGCUGGAGCGCAGUGGCGCAAUGCCGGCUCACUGCAACCUCCGCCUCCCGGGUUCAAGCGAUUCUCCUGCCUCAGCCUGCUGAGUAGCUGGGAUUAGAGGCAUGCGCCACUAUGCCCGGCUAAUUUUUGUAUUUUUGUAGAGACGGGGUUUCACCAUGUUGGUCAGGCUGAUCUUGAACUUCUGACCUCGUGAUCCGCCCGCCUUAGCCUCCCAAAGUGCUGAGAUUAUAGGCAUGAGGCACCGUGCCGGCCGUGCAGGUGUUUUUAAAAGCACCUCUUGCUGGAACUAGUAGGAGUGAAAACUCACUCAUUACUAAGAGGACAGCACCAAACUGUUCGUGAGGAAUCUGCCCCCAUGACCCAGACACCUCCAACACUGGGGCUCAGAUUUCAACCUGAGGUUUGAAGGGGACCAACACCCAAACUAUAGAAACAGAGAAAGAGGAAAGUUUACAGAUACCCAUUUAGAAAGAAUCUGCUAACAAAGGGAAAGAAUCAGGCUGGGCGCGGUGGUUUAUGCCUGGAAUCCCAACACUUUGAGAGGCCAAGGUGGGUGGAUCACCUGAGGUCAGGAGUUUGAGACCAGCCUGGCCAGCAUGUGAAACCCUGUCUCUACUAAAAAUGCAAACAUUAGCCAGGCGUAGUGACGUGCACCUGUAGUCCCAGCUACCCAGGAGGCCAGGCAAGAGAAUUGCUGGAGUUCAUGAGACAGAGGUUGCAGUGAGCAGAGAUCCUGCCACUGCACUCCAGCCCAGGCAACAAGAGCGAGACUGUGUCUCAAAAACAAACAAACAACAACAACAAAAGGAAAGAAUCAGACUGGCUUGGGACUCUGCUGUCCCCUGCCCGUGACCUCCCAAAAGCGUGUGUUAGAGACUGACCUGCCUAGUGCGUCAGUGGAGGGGGCACUUUGGAGAGGGGCUUGGAUCGUGAGGCCCCGCCCUCGUGAAUGGCUCAGUGCCUUGUGAAAGGGCUUGAUGGAGGGAGUUUGGUCCCUUUUCCCCUUUUGUCUCUCUGCUGUGUGAGGACACCAUGUUCCUCCCCUCUGGAGGAUGCUGUAACAAGCUGUCAUCUCGGGAGGAGACACCAGGCCCUGACCAGACGCUGAACAUGCCAGCACCUUCAUCUUGGACUUUCCAG